UACGGAGGGUGCAAGCGUUAUCCGGAUUUAUUGGGCUUAAAGGGUCCGUAGGCGGAUCUGUAAGUCAGUGGUGAAAUCUCAUAGCUUAACUAUGAAACUGCCAUUGAUACUGCAGGUCUUGAGUAAGGUAGAAGUAGCUGGAAUAAGUAGUGUAGCGGUGAAAUGCAUAGAUAUUACGUAGAACACCAAUUGCGAAGGCAGGUUACUAUGUCUUAACUGACGCUGAUGGACGAAAGCUAGGGGAGCGAAUGGG
Molecule: ribosomal RNA, 253 nt
Filed under: uncultured bacterium
Lineage: Bacteria
Description: partial 16S ribosomal RNA
Rfam family: Bacterial small subunit ribosomal RNA
Source: RNAcentral